Camelus dromedarius (Arabian camel) is the source of this 104-nucleotide small nuclear RNA. NCBI's taxonomy places the organism in Eukaryota, Metazoa, Chordata, Mammalia, Artiodactyla, Camelidae. The record is from Ensembl.
AUGCUUGCUUCGGCAGCACAUAGAUUAAAAUGGGAUUGAAAUAGAGAAGAUUAGCAUGGCUCCUGUGCAAGAUGACAUGCAAAUAUGAAGCGUUCCAUAUUUUU